UACAGAGACUGCAAGCGUUAUUCGGAUUCACUGGGCGUAAAGGGUGCGCAGGCGGCCGUGUGUGUUAGGCGUGAAAGCCCGAGGCUCAACCUCGGAAUUGCACCUAAAACUACACGGCUAGAGUACUGGAGAGGGUAGCAGAAUUCAUGGUGUAGCAGUGAAAUGCGUAGAUAUCAUGAGGAAUACCAAUGGCGAAGGCAGCUACCUGGACAGUUACUGACGCUCAGGCACGAAAGCGUGGGGAGCAAAAGGG
RNAcentral lists this ribosomal RNA (253 nucleotides) under uncultured bacterium. RNAcentral's name for it is "partial 16S ribosomal RNA". It matches the Rfam family "Bacterial small subunit ribosomal RNA", at positions 524 to 776 of the family's 1533-position model. The record is from RNAcentral.